This 795-nucleotide ribosomal RNA is filed under the name uncultured Chlamydiae bacterium. RNAcentral's name for it is "bacterial SSU rRNA". It matches the Rfam family "Bacterial small subunit ribosomal RNA", at positions 554 to 1350 of the family's 1533-position model. The record is from RNAcentral. Lineage: Bacteria; Pseudomonadati; Chlamydiota; Chlamydiia.
UUGGGCGUAAAUGGCGCGUAGGCGGAUGGAUAAGUCAGAUGUGAAAUUCCGAAACUCAAUUUCGGGACUGCAUUUGAAACUGUGUAUCUGGAGGAUUGACGGAGAAAACGGAAUUCCACGUGUAGCGGUGAAAUGCGUAGAUAUGUGGAAGAACACCUGUGGCGAAAGCGGUUUUCUAGUUUAUACCUGACGCUGAUGCGCGAGAGCAAGGGGAGCAAACAGGAUUAGAUACCCUGGUAGUCCUUGCCGUAAACGAUGUAUACUUGAUGUAGUGAGGCUCAACCCUGACUGUGUCGAAGCUAACGCGAUAAGUAUACCGCCUGAGGAGUACGCUCGCAAGGGUGAAACUCAAAAGAAUUGACGGGGGCCCGCACAAGCAGUGGAGCAUGUGGUUUAAUUCGAUGCAACGCGAAGAACCUUACCCAGGCUCGAAAUGUAAUGGACGAUACCAGAGAUGGUAUUUUCCGAAAGGACCGUUAUAUAGGUGCUGCAUGGCUGUCGUCAGCUCGUGCCGUGAGGUGUUGGGUUAAGUCCCGCAACGAGCGCAACCCUUAUCAUUAGUUGCCAACACGAGAGGUGGGGACUCUAAUGAGACUGCCUAGGUUAACUAGGAGGAAGGUGAGGAUGACGUCAAGUCCGCAUGGCCUUUAUGUCUGGGGCUACACACGUGCUACAAUGGUCGGUACAGAAGGCAGCAAGACCGCAAGGUGGAGCAAAUCCGUAAAGCCGAUCACAGUUCAGAUUGUAGUCUGCAACUCGACUACAUGAAGACGGAAUUGCUAGUAAUGGCGAGUC